GCGUUCCGAUGGGGGAGCGGCGGACGGGUGAGUAACGCGUGGGAAUUUUCCUCAAGGUACGGAACAACUCAGGGAAACUUGGGCUAAUACCGUAUGAUGCAGAGAUGCCAAAGAUUUAUCGCCUUGGGAUAAGCCCGCGUCAGAUUAGGUAGUUGGUGGGGUAACGGCCUACCAAGCCUGCGAUCUGUAGCUGGUCUGAGAGGACGAUCAGCCACACUGGGACUGAGACACGGCCCAGACUCCUACGGGAGGCAGCAGUGGGGAAUCUUGCGCAAUGGGCGAAAGCCUGACGCAGCCAUGCCGCGUGAAUGAUGAAGGUCUUAGGAUUGUAAAGUUCUUUCGCUCGUGACGAUGAUGACGGUAACGAGAGAAGAAGCCCCGGCUAACUUCGUGCCAGCAGCCGCGGUAAUACGAAGGGGGCUAGCGUUGUUCGGAAUUACUGGGCGUAAAGCGCGCGUAGGCGGUUUUGCAAGCCAG
This 477-nucleotide ribosomal RNA is filed under the name uncultured bacterium. RNAcentral's name for it is "bacterial SSU rRNA". It matches the Rfam family "Bacterial small subunit ribosomal RNA", at positions 79 to 591 of the family's 1533-position model. The record is from RNAcentral.